This 1442-nucleotide ribosomal RNA is filed under the name metagenome. Its description in RNAcentral is "bacterial SSU rRNA". It matches the Rfam family "Bacterial small subunit ribosomal RNA". The record is from RNAcentral.
AGAGUUUGAUCGUGGCUCAGGAUGAACGCUAGCGGCGCGCUUAAUGCAUGCAAGUCGAGCGAUGAGGCCCCUUCGGGGGCACAUCAGCGGCAGACGGGUGAGUAACACGUGGAUGACCUGCCCCGAAGACGAGGAUAACGGAUGGAAACAUCCGCUAAUACUCGAUGGUCUUGUACUGUCGCAGGUACAAGUAAAGCUCCGGUGCUUCGGGAGGGGUCUGCGGCCUAUCAGCUAGUUGGUGAGGUAACGGCUCACCAAGGCGACGACGGGUAGGGGGUGUGAGAGCACGGCCCCCCACAAUGGGACUGAGACACGGCCCAUACUCCUACGGGAGGCAGCAGCAGGGAAUAUUGCACAAUGGACGGAAGUCUGAUGCAGCGACGCCGCGUGGAUGAUGAAGGCCCUCGGGUUGUAAAAUCCUUUUCAGGGGGACGAGGAAGGACGGUACCCUUGGAAUAAGCGUCGGCUAACUACGUGCCAGCAGCCGCGGUAAGACGUAGGACGCGAGCGUUAUCCGGAUUUACUGGGCGUAAAGCGUCUGUAGGCGGAAUGGUAAGUUGGGCGUGAAAGCUCCGGGCUUAACUCGGAGAGGACGUUCAAUACUGCCAAACUAGAGGGCAUCAGAGGAGCGUGGAAUUUCCGGUGUAGCGGUAAGGUGCGCAGAUAUCGGAAGGAACACCAAUGGCGAAGGCAGCGCUCUGGGAUGAACCUGACGCUAAGAGACGAAAGCUAGGGGAGCGAACAGGAUUAGAGACCCUGGUAGUCCUAGCCCUAAACGAUGGAUGCUAGGUGUAGGGCCGCAAGGUUCUGUGCCGGAGCAAACGCGAUAAGCAUCCCGCCUGGGGAAUACGGCCGCAAGGCUAAAACUCAAACGAAUUGACGGGGCCCCGCACAAGCAGCGGAGCGUGUGGUUUAGUUCGAUCUACACGAAGAACCUUACCUGGGUUUGACAUACAAGUGGUAAUGAGGCGAAAGCCAAGUGACCCUUCGGGGAGCUUGUACAGGUGCUGCAUGGCUGUCGUCAGCUCGUGCCGUGAGGUGUCGGGUUAAGUCCCGUAACGAGCGCAACCCUUACCCUUAGUUGCAGGUGUCUAAGGGGACUGCCGGCGGUAAGCCGGAGGAAGGUGGGGAUGACGUCAAGUCAGCAUGGCCCAUAUGUCCAGGGCUACACACACGCUACAAUGGUUGGUACGGAGGGCAGCGAAGCCGCGAGGUGGAGCGAGUCCCAGCAGAGCCAAUCUUAGUUCGGAUUGCAGGCUGCAACUCGCCUGCAUGAAGCUGGAGUUGCUAGUAACCGCGCGUCAGCUAUAGUGCGGUGAAUACGUUCCCGGGGCUUGUACACACCGCCCGUCACGUCAUGGAAGUUGGUAACGCCUGAAGCUGGUAGCCUAGCGCGUAAGCGGGGGCGCCAUCGAAGGCGGGGCUAGCAACUGGGACGAAGU